UAAUGAUGGGUAGGGGAGCUUCCCAUACGGGUUGAAGCAUGACCGUAAGGACAUGUGGACAGUAUGGGAGUGAGAAUGUUGGCAUGAGUAGCGAGAUGUGGGGGAGAAUCCCACAGGCCGUAAACCCAAGGUUUCCAGGGGAAGGUUCGUCCGCCCUGGGUUAGUCGGGACCUAAGCUGAGGCCGAAAGGCGUAGGUGAUGGACA
RNAcentral lists this ribosomal RNA (205 nucleotides) under Clostridioides difficile. Its description in RNAcentral is "partial 23S ribosomal RNA". It matches the Rfam family "Bacterial large subunit ribosomal RNA", at positions 1219 to 1424 of the family's 2925-position model. Lineage: Bacteria; Bacillati; Bacillota; Clostridia; Peptostreptococcales; Peptostreptococcaceae. The record is from RNAcentral.